GAUGAACGCUGGCGGCGUGCCUAAUACAUGCAAGUCGAGCGGCAGCACGGUCUUCGGACUGGUGGCGAGCGGCGGACGGCUGAGUAACGCGUAGGAAUAUACCCCAAAGUGAGGGAUAACUGCCCGAAAGGGUGGCUAAUACCGCAUGUGGUCUUCGGACUAAAGCCUUCGGGCGCUUUGGGAAUAGCCUGCGUAAGAUUAGCUAGUUGGUGAGGUAAUGGCUCACCAAGGCGACGAUCUUUAGCUGGUCUGAGAGGAUGACCAGCCAGACUGGAACUGAGACACGGUCCAGACUCCUACGGGAGGCAGCAGUAGGGAAUUUUCCACAAUGGGCGAAAGCCUGAUGGAGCAACGCCGCGUGCAGGAUGAAGGCCCUCGGGUCGUAAACUGCUUUAUGUGCGAAGAAUAUGACGGUAACACAUGAAUAAGGGUCGGCUAACUACGUGCCAGCAGCCGCGGU
RNAcentral lists this ribosomal RNA (460 nucleotides) under uncultured bacterium. RNAcentral's name for it is "bacterial SSU rRNA". It matches the Rfam family "Bacterial small subunit ribosomal RNA", at positions 28 to 521 of the family's 1533-position model. The record is from RNAcentral.